Molecule: ribosomal RNA, 451 nt
Filed under: uncultured bacterium
Lineage: Bacteria
Description: bacterial SSU rRNA
Rfam family: Bacterial small subunit ribosomal RNA
Source: RNAcentral
GUGGGGAAUAUUGGACAAUGGGCGCAAGCCUGAUCCAGCCACGCCGCGUGAGUGAUGAAGGCCUUCGGGUUGUAAAGCUCUGUGGGGAGGGACGAAAAAGGUGGAGACGAAUAAGCUCUGCCCUUGACGGUACCUCCUUAGCAAGCACCGGCUAACUCUGUGCCAGCAGCCGCGGUAAGACAGAGGGUGCGAACGUUGCUCGGAAUUACUGGGCGUAAAGCGCGUGUAGGCGGACGGUCAAGUCGGGUGUGAAAUCCCUGGGCUCAACCCAGGAACUGCAUCCGAAACUGGCUGUCUUGAGUGUCGGAGAGGGAAGCGGAAUUCCUGGUGUAGAGGUGAAAUUCGUAGAUAUCAGGAGGAACACCGGUGGCGAAGGCGGCUUCCUGGACGACUACUGACGCUGAGACGCGAAAGCGUGGGGAGCAAACAGGAUUAGAAACCCUUGUAGUCC